AACGAACGCUGGCGGCAGGCUUAACACAUGCAAGUCGAACGGCAGCACGGGAGCAAUCCUGGUGGCGAGUGGCGAACGGGUGAGUAAUAUAUCGGAACGUGCCCAGUCGUGGGGGAUAACGUAGCGAAAGCUACGCUAAUACCGCAUACGAUCUACGGAUGAAAGCGGGGGAUCGCAAGACCUCGCGCGAUUGGAGCGGCCGAUAUCAGAUUAGGUAGUUGGUGAGGUAAAGGCUCACCAAGCCGACGAUCUGUAGCUGGUCUGAGAGGACGACCAGCCACACUGGGACUGAGACACGGCCCAGACUCCUACGGGAGGCAGCAGUGGGGAAUUUUGGACAAUGGGCGCAAGCCUGAUCCAGCAAUGCCGCGUGCAGGAUGAAGGCCU
This 387-nucleotide ribosomal RNA is filed under the name uncultured bacterium. RNAcentral describes it as "bacterial SSU rRNA". It matches the Rfam family "Bacterial small subunit ribosomal RNA", at positions 29 to 417 of the family's 1533-position model. The record is from RNAcentral.